UAUUAUAUUUAAUUUUAAUUAGUUACUGGGGUAGUAGUAGUAAGUUCUUGAAACCCAAAGAAUUUGGCGGUGUUUUAGUCUUUUCAGAGGAAUCUGUUCUGUAAUUGAUGAUACACGAUUUGUUAAACUUAAUUUUGUUAUCAGCUUAUAUACCGCCGUCGUAAGAUUAUUUUAAUUUAAAAAUUUAAUUUUCUUAUUUUUUUAAUAAAUUAUAUGUCAGGUCAAGGUGUAGUUUAUGAUUGAGUAGAAAUGGAUUACAAUAAUUAUAAUUAAUAUGGAUAAUUAUUUUAGAUUAAUUUGAAGGUGGAUUUGAUUGUAAAUUUAUUUUUGAUUUUUAUGUUGAUAAAAGCUCUAGAAUGUGUACAUAUCGCCCGUCGCUCUCAUUAGUUAAGAUGAG
This 397-nucleotide ribosomal RNA is filed under the name Macrobinthus kutini. Its description in RNAcentral is "partial small subunit ribosomal RNA". Lineage: Eukaryota; Metazoa; Arthropoda; Insecta; Orthoptera; Gryllidae. The record is from RNAcentral.